GAUCCUGGCUCAGGACGACGCUGGCGGCGUGCUUAACACAUGCAAGUCGAGCGGGGAUAUAUUGGAUGAGAGCUUCGGCAGGAUUCCGGCAUAUUCUAGCGGCGGACGGGUGAGUAACGCGUGAGCAAUCUGUCCCAGACAGGGGGAUAACACUUGGAAACAGGUGCUAAUACCGCAUAAGACCACGAGGUCACAUGGCCAUGAGGUAAAAGGAGAAAUCCGGUUUGGGGUGAGCUCGCGUCCGAUUAGCUAGUUGGCGAGGUAACGGCCCACCAAGGCGACGAUCGGUAGCCGACCUGAGAGGGUGAUCGGCCACAUUGGAACUGAGACACGGUCCAAACUCCUACGGGAGGCAGCAGUGGGGAAUAUUGGGCAAUGGGCGAAAGCCUGACCCAGCAACGCCGCGUGAGGGAAGAAGGUUUUCGGAUUGUAAACCUCUGUCCUCAGGGACGAAGGAAGUGACGGUACCUGAGGAGGAAGCCCCGGCUAACUACGUGCC
RNAcentral lists this ribosomal RNA (499 nucleotides) under uncultured organism. Its description in RNAcentral is "SSU rRNA". It matches the Rfam family "Bacterial small subunit ribosomal RNA", at positions 15 to 509 of the family's 1533-position model. The record is from RNAcentral.